This 590-nucleotide long non-coding RNA is filed under the name Setaria italica (foxtail millet). Its description in RNAcentral is "long non-coding RNA (SITA_LNC003054)". Lineage: Eukaryota; Viridiplantae; Streptophyta; Magnoliopsida; Poales; Poaceae. The record is from RNAcentral.
UUCGCCGGUGAGGUCCAUUCCCCAUCGCAUUGACCAGCAAGAACGGCCCGUCCCCCAUGGCCGGCGUCUUCGACCUGCCUACUACGAGUGGUUUCAGUUCGCUGGCGAGGUCCGUUCCCCAUCGCAUUGACCAGCAAGUAGCAACGCUGGCUGCUGACAAGUUUCCUCUCCGCUGCUUCAGAUCUGGGAGGACAUGAUCCCGUCGAGUGCAAGAACUUGGAUAGGUGCUUCUCCUACCUCGAGGAGCUGAUGAUCAGCCGGGCUGCUAGGAUUCUCCUAGGUGUUUGAUUACUUUCCCGUUACUAAUUCCCCGUGCAUGGUGCAUGAUAACUCCUCCGCCAUUGAUGGGUAAAUGACCGUGGUGGAUGCCAAAUUCUUACCAGGGCGUCGUCGUAUCUACAGUGCUUGCAGGGCUCCAGGAAUAGGUAAAAUGAGUUGUGGCGUUUGGUACCAGGUGUGGUAAAAUGAGCAAAAUGUUCAGCGGGUUGUGCGAUGUCUGUUGCUUGUCAUGGUUGCUACUGUCAUAGCUUGAUUUUGCAAACUCAUCUCCGCGUUUUCCGGCAGGGGUUGGCCUUCACUGGGUUGCUAAG